AGAGGCAGAGGCGGCGGCGGCAGCGGCUGCAGCAUCAUUCGCGGGCAGCGGCGGAGACCGAGAGCUGCAGAAAAGGGUGGGGUCGCUUCCCAGGAGAAGAGGCGGUGGCGGCGGCGGCUGCGGCAUCCUCGCGGGCAGCGGCGGAGGCAGCAAUGCUCGGUCUCCGCUGGAGGUGAUGGCCUCCCAGCCCUGCUAGGUGGCCGGCUGCACUAGGACGCCGGCAGGAAGGAGACUCGAGCCCGGUCCGCGGACCCUGCGGCCACACCGCCCGGCCCCUCCUCUGCGCCAUGGCUUAAGCCUGUAGCCACCUCUCCUCACGUCGCCUCGCUCGACCGAGGUCUGUGCGCCGCCGCAGCCGCAGGGAGGGGCGCGUCCCAGACACCCUCGCCGGGGACUCGGGAACGCCGUGCGUCUCACCCUUCGGCGCUCGCAGCAGACUGCGCUCCCAAAGGCGUUUGCGACCGGUAAUCGAGGGACUCUACAGACUCUCCUAGGACAGCUCUCCCCGGGUGCUCGCUGAGGGAGGAGGGCGAACUAGCUCCGGCUGAUCGGGGGUAGAAAACGGUGGGAACCACAUUGGCCGGUCAGGAUCGGAGGCUGAAGGAAGAUUAUAGAGACUUGCUUUAGAACCACAAGAAGAAAGAGGAGGCCGGCUUUUCAGCUAGCAUCAUGGCGUGGCCGUGCAUCACGAGGGCCUGCUGCAUCGCCCGCUUCUGGAACCAGUUGGACAAAGCGGACAUCGCUGUGCCGCUGGUUUUCACCAAGUACUCGGAGGCCACCGAGCACCCGGGCGCCCCGCCGCAGCCACCGCCGCCGCAGCAGCAGGCGCAGCCGGCGCUCGCGCCCCCCUCGGCGCGCGCGGUUGCCAUAGAGACGCAGCCAGCCCAGGGCGAGUUGGAUGCAGUUGCCCGGGCAACGGGGCCAGCGCCUGGGCCUACCGGCGAGCGCGAGCCGGCGGCGGGCCCCGGCCGGAGCGGGCCGGGCCCGGGCCUGGGCUCCGGCUCCACCUCCGGCCCCGCGGACUCGGUGAUGCGGCAGGAUUACCGAGCCUGGAAGGUGCAGCGGCCCGAGCCCAGCUGCCGGCCGCGCAGCGAAUACCAGCCCUCCGACGCUCCCUUCGAGCGCGAGACCCAGUACCAGAAGGACUUCCGCGCCUGGCCGCUGCCGCGCCGCGGGGACCACCCGUGGAUCCCCAAGCCCGUGCAGAUCUCUGCGGCCUCCCAGGCGUCGGCGCCCAUUCUCGGGGCGCCCAAGCGCCGGCCGCAGAGCCAGGAGCGCUGGCCAGUGCAGGCCGCCGCUGAGGCCCGGGAGCAGGAGGCGGCCCCCGGCGGAGCGGGUGGCCUGGCGGCCGGAAAGGCGUCCGGGGCGGACGAGCGCGACACGCGCAGGAAGGCCGGGCCUGCCUGGAUUGUGCGCCGCGCCGAGGGCCUGGGGCACGAGCAGACGCCGCUGCCCGCGGCCCAGGCCCAGGUCCAGGCCACCGGCCCCGAGGCUGGCAGGGGGCGCGCCGCGGCGGACGCCCUCAACCGGCAAAUCCGCGAGGAGGUGGCGAGUGCAGUGAGCAGCUCCUACAGAUAUUUUUGAAAAGAGCAUUCAGAUGUAAAAUGCUGUAUUGACCCUGGAGCGUGACAUUAAUAGAGUGAGAAACAUCUAGUGUCUGUUCUGAAUGCAGCAGCUGAAGUAAACAUAAACCAAGAGUCAAAUCGUGCCACUCGGAGCUACAUCAGGUCUGCUCAAAUCCUCCAGCCGCUCCCCAUCGCACAGAAGAUUAAACCAAAUCCCUCUCUCUGUUAUCCAAGGCCCUCCCCACUCUGCUCGCCCUUCUCUGAUCUCUUCUCCUACUCCUCGUUAGCUCCCAUUCAGCCUCACUGGCCUCUUCAGCAUUCCUCAGACACAUCCUCCGGCCUUAGGGUCUUUGCACUCUCCCUGCAGAAGCCCACAAGGCUCACUUCCUCCAGGUCUCUGUUCAACUCUCACUUGAUCAGAGAGGCUGUUGUUGACCCUAGGUAAGCACACAUACACACACACAGCACAUGUGACUCUCUGUCACCUUUAUUAUUCUUGUUGGAACUUCCCACCACCUGACAUACCAGCUUAUUGGCUUAUGGUCCCUCUCCCUUCAUUGGAAUGUAAGUCACUGCUCUCCAAGAGGGCAGGGACUUUGUAUCCUCUGUCCUCUGUUGUAUCCCAAUGUCUUCCCACAGCACCUAAGUUAAUAUAUGUUAAACAAAUUAAUGAGUGAAUUUUUUAGCAUCUCUCACUAGCAUGUCCUCAUGAAAUACUUACUUGACAGAAAAAUCCUAAGUUUGCCCAGAGUAUCCGUCAGAGGAGUGAGAUUUAUUUUCAAGUUAUAUGAGGAUUAGCCUAAAGAACAAAAGGCACAUGGACCUUUUGGGAAGAUCAUUUGCCUUCGUAAGUCCUGUGGGAUUGGGAUUUAUGAGCAAACCCAAGCAAUUCAGAGCAUAUACUUAAUGGAAUAAUUUCUAAUGCCCUGUACAUGGUGACUCACAUGAAAUACUUAAGUGAAGAUAUGUUACAAGCAGUUAGGUUUUGUGGAGACAUUGUCUACUGUUGUUUUUAAUAACAAUAUGCUAUUAGUACCUUUAAAAUACUGUCUCUUCUGAUGCCAAAAAAAAAAAAAGAAAAAAGAAAAAAAGAAAAGAAACAACAGCAACAACAACAAAACUGGACCAGGAAAUGAGAAGCUGGAAUGCUGGUUCCAGCUCUGCCAUCAGUUGCUAUGUGACUUUAAUGGAGUUAUUUCCUCUCUCUCCAUCUAAUUUUUUUCCAUCUGUAAAAAUUAACAUAUUGAAUUAAAUUAUCUCUAUGAUUGUCUGCCAGUUCUAAAAUUCUAGGGUUCUAUGAAUUACUGGCUGGCUGGCUGGAUGGAUAGAUGACUCUAAUUUCCACAUUACGCAGUCAUAACAAUAGUGGUUAGUUCUAAUCUGUUCUUAUCAUGCUCUUCCCACAAUUCCCUAGUCCAGAGAAUACUACCCUUUAUCUGAGGUUAUGUACAUCCCUUACCCUUAGGUCCUUGUAUCUAUCUUCUUUGAACAGUGAACAGUUAGAAGCCAGUAGAUUAUAGAAUCACGCAAAACAAAAGUGGUGGUAACUGAAGGGUAUUUAUUCUGUGAGAAAGGAAAGAGGAAGAUGGAUGUAUUAACUUACAACCAAGCAUCAGGAAGGCAUACAAAGUAGUUCAUGCAGUCCACUUCACCAUGCCUGUCUGUUUGUGAGAGACCUUAUACAGACAUUGAAUCUUCCCUUUGGUGGAUUAUAAACUCUGAUGGCUGAACAUGGAAAGACCCAGAAUAACAUCUGAAAAAGUGAUCUUGGCCCCCUAAUUUGCUGUCCCUGGGCAAGUCCCCAGAGUUGGAAUGGAACACAGAGGAAGCCUGCCCUGGGCUUGGUCUACUUCUUACUAGCUGGGUGACCUUCGGUAAGGCACCCUCUACCCCCAUGUUCCUGGAAAUAGAAUAGAGCUAAUAGGGUUGAAGUGAGGAUUAAGCAAGAAGGCUCGGUGAGGUAAAGUAACUUGCCUCUAAUGUCACAGAGCUAAUCAUUUGAAUCCCAAAGCCAUAGUAGGAAAUGAAUAUGAAAGGAAUCAAAAGAGACUCCUAUAAUUUUACACUCUCCGUUGAUUAAAUUGAUGGAUUUAAAGUAAGGAAUGUCUGUAUGGGGCUCGCAGAGAUAAUUUCACCAUUGCUAGAAAUUCACUUACUCACAAACUUGGUGUCCAUUCAGCAAAAUAUACCAGAAAUGUGUUCACAGGUGGUAUUUGCUGGAUGAAAUUGGAUCAUUCCAUCUACGUGAAAUAUUUGUACACCCAGUGCCUAUCUCCUGCGACAGCAGAAAUUAUCACUUUUCAUUGAUCUCCUUUUAGACCUGACCUUGAUAUUCCCUCAUUUCCUCCUAAAUAUAUCAAAGCACCCGAGGAUAUAAGUGUGCUCUGCUUCAAUUGAAUUUCACUGGUCUCAUGUUGAGAUUUGUGUUCUGAAGCAAGCACUUGAUCAUCUCAUCACCAGCCUUUGAAUCUGCUUCCUUUUCUUCCCUUUUCAUGUUUGAGUUUCCUUAGCUGAGACAGCCACUUGACAGCCAUCCAUCACUGUAGCUGUGCAAGUGCAUUUGUACCGUCUCCUGCUGGCCCUGUGUUACAUGAGCCCAUCUGGAGGAGGGGAGUGGGAGAGGGUUGGGCAAAGGGCAAAGGGCAAUUAAGAAAAAAAAAGUCUACUGUAUUUCAUUAAAUCUGCACACCACCACAGCAAGGUAGAUGACAUUAUCCCUGUUUACAGAUGAGGAAGCUGAGGCUUAGGGAGGGUAGUUCUUGAAGUUACACAACUGAUACACAGCAUAAUUGGGAUUCCAAACAUAAGCCCUUUCUCAUAGUCCAUGCUUUGUUAUUGCUGAGAAUGAGUGGAGACUGUGGGAGAGUGACCAAAAAUACCUAGAUAUGCCUGCAGUCCUAUCAACAAUUAAGUUUUUACCCAGCUGUAACCCUCUUUAAGGUAAUUUGAAUUAUGCUUCUUAAACCAGUCACAUUGGCACCCACAGCAUGCCACCUUGAGCCAAGUGGUGUGCCCGGCACUUUAUUAUAGACACAAUUUACUUUAUUCAUCACCUUUAUCCACAAAGUCAUGAUAACUUUAAAGUGGUGUUUUUCAAAGUAUGCUCCUCUGACCAACUGCAUUAGAAUCACCCAAGGAACUUGUUAAAAUACAGAUUCCAGGGCUUCACCACAAGGGUAAGAACAGUGGAAUUUUCAUUAUUAACAAAUUCUAUGAUACAUUUGGACAAUUGUUCUUAAAAGGUAAUAAGUCCUUGUUAUUAACAAAACACUUGAAUCAUUACCUUUUAACGAGCCUUUGUAAGUUAAGCAUUUUGUAUUUAAAAUGUAGCUAUGGCUUCCUUUAAUUAGUAAUGAGUUUAGGGAGAUACAGAUAGGAAGCUGGAACUCAGUUCAGGGCUUAGUUGAAUGAAUAUUACCUGGUACCCAGAGAAAUUUGAAGGAAUCUAUUUUUAGGAGUGACUAGUAGGUCACACCUAUAAAAUUCAAGAUCUGGUAUAAAUAGUCUGAAAUUUGGACUUCAGUCUGGACUUUUGUAGUAUUCUAUGAUAUAUCAGAUAGAAGCCUCUUUUAAAAUUUUAAGUUAAAUAUUCAUCAUUAAAUUAUAUCAGGUAAGAUACAACAUUAUAGAAACAGAUUCAUUUCAAUGCAGAACCUUUAAUGAAUAUCAACUGUGAACUAGGUGCAAUGGUUUACAAAAACAAUUAAGCUGGUGAUUCCUGCCAAACAUGCAAAGAAAAAUUAAUACCAAUUUUCACAAACUCUUCCAAAAAAUAGAAAAAGAGAGAACACUUCAUAGCUCAUUCUAUAAGGUCAAUAUUACCCUGACACCAAAACCAGACAAAGACACAAGAGUUCACCAGUGAAGAUGGGAGGAGUUUAAGCCCAGGAGUCCCAUGCUGGUUCUCUAACUGGGCUGGGUGGAUUUCUGGGAGAGGGUAGAGUCGGAAAGUUCGGAAGACCACGAUGAAGACAAUGGUGUGAAGGUGGUGGUGAUGAUAGUUACAGCAGCACAUGCACACACACUCGCAUCACUCAUAUGAACACAGAUUUGAAAUCCAGUAGUGUGUUUUAUCAAGCAUUCUUCUCUAAGGUAGGUCCUAGCCUUGUCUUUGCUGUAGUUACUUAUUGUGGUGGAUAUUAGAAGACAUGAGAAUUCAGUGUGUAGCUGAUGAACAAGAACCGAGACUUUUGUUCCUCUGUCAACAAGACUUCCUCUCACUGCCUUCUUAUUUUCUCUUCUCCUCUUCAUUCCCCUCAGCCCACUCCCCUCCCGGCAAUGCCCUCACUGUCCUUCAGUAACAGCUCCCUCCAAAUACCACCAUCCCUGUCAGUAUAUCUAUAGCCCUGUUUACAAACUUGCAUUCAGACCUAGAUCUAAUUAUUUGGUUAUGACACUGCAGUUUAUAUUAACCCUUUGACAAACAAGCAAGUGAUAGCAGCUGUGGAAUAAACUUUUUCCAAUCCCUUUGACCUCAAAAUAAAAGAAUAUAAGAAUAUAAAGUCAGUCUUUUGAGCAAAGUCUUUUGCCCUUUAUAGUGAAAGCUUUAUUGAAUGCAUGAGGACAGAAUUAAUUCAGGGAAAAAAAUGUACUUCAUAUGCAGGAUGCCAGAAAAGCUCCCACCCUGAGCACCACUUUUAUUGGCACAAGUUGACCUGCAGAAGUCCCAAGCAGAGACACGAUAGAAAGACCCAGGCUUGGCAGGGGGUGGUGGCUCAUGCCUGUAAUCCCAGCACUUUGGGAGGCCGAGUUAGGAGGAUCACUUGAGACCAGGAGUUGGAGACCAGCCUGACCAACAUGGUGAAACCCCAUCUCUACUAAAAAUACAAAAAUUAGCCAGGCAUUGUGGCACAUGCAUGUAAUCCCAGCUACUUCGGAGGCUAAGGCAGGAAAAUCACUUGAACUCAGGAGGCGGAAUUUGCAGUGAGCCGAGAUCGCACCACUGCACUCCAGCC
Homo sapiens (human) is the source of this 6520-nucleotide RNA transcript. It is a transcript of the gene named microtubule associated protein 6, with no coding region annotated. Lineage: Eukaryota; Metazoa; Chordata; Mammalia; Primates; Hominidae. The record is from RefSeq and is marked reviewed. The transcript has 3 exons.